This 446-nucleotide ribosomal RNA is filed under the name uncultured bacterium. Its description in RNAcentral is "bacterial SSU rRNA". It matches the Rfam family "Bacterial small subunit ribosomal RNA", at positions 335 to 799 of the family's 1533-position model. The record is from RNAcentral.
ACUCCUACGGGAGGCAGCAGUUAGGAAUAUUCGGCAAUGGGGGAAAGCCCUGACGAGCGACACUGCGUGAAGGAGGAAGGCCUUAGGGUUGUAAAACUUCUGAACGAGAGACGAUAAUGACGGUAUCUCGGUAAUAGCACCGGCUAACUCCGUGCCAGCAGCCGCGGUAAUACGGAGGGUGCGAGCGUUAUCCGGGAAUCACUGGGCGUAAAGGGCGCGUAGGCGGUUACAUAAGUCCGAUGUUAAAGCGUAGGGCUCAACCCUAUAAAGGCGUUGGAUACUGUGAAACUAGACUUCUGGAGAGGUAAGUGGAAUUACCAGAGUAGCGGUGAAAUGCGUAGAUACUGGUAGGAACACCCAUAGCGAAGGCAGCUUACUGGACAGAGAGUGACGCUGAGGCGCGAAAGUGUGGGGAGCAAACCGAUUAGAUACCCUGGUAGGUCAGU